GGUCAUUUUUUAUUAAAUAGGCCAUUUUGGAGCUAACUAAGCUAAUUAUGUCAUUUCGUUGGAUAAUUAGCCAAUUUAGCCUUUGUUGGAUAAGUCUAAGCUACGUAGAAGAAGAGAUAGAGAAGAAGAAGUAAAAUAAGGAGCAGGAGGAGGAGGAGGAGGAGGAGAAGAAGAAGGAAGAGGAGAAGAAGAAGAAAGAAGAAGGAGAAGGAGAAGAAGAAGGAGAAGG
RNAcentral lists this long non-coding RNA (229 nucleotides) under Hordeum vulgare. RNAcentral describes it as "long non-coding RNA (HVUL_LNC007180)". Lineage: Eukaryota; Viridiplantae; Streptophyta; Magnoliopsida; Poales; Poaceae. The record is from RNAcentral.